This is an RNA transcript of Sapajus apella (tufted capuchin), 7271 nucleotides long. It is a transcript of the gene named nucleic acid binding protein 1, with no coding region annotated. NCBI's taxonomy places the organism in Eukaryota, Metazoa, Chordata, Mammalia, Primates, Cebidae. The record is from RefSeq and is a predicted model, not a curated record. The transcript is spliced from 7 exons.
GGGGGUCUAGACGGCGCGCGGGCGCGUUCGUCAGUCGCUGUUUGGGACGCAGGGCGUGCGGAGUUCUGUCUCCGCUCCCGUUUCGCAGUCACAGCCAGUUCCUUCCCGGAGCCCGGGACGGGCUGGGCGCGCACCCGUGUGAGUGAGCGGGACUCAGGGCAGAAGUGUCCCCUCACUGCGUUUUUUUUCUUCCUUUUAUCCAAAGAACGGGGCAGUUCGCACGCUUGCCUUCCUGUCGCCCGGUUGGGAGCGGGGUUGGUGUGCGGAGUGGUUCGCCUUUUUUUCUUUUGAACUUGUGAGCGCUUUUUUUUUUUUUCUUUUUUUAGGCUCAGUGCCGUCCGGGCUGGUUUCCCCGGUCCCUGACUAACCGCUUUCUGCCUCUUCUCUCGCCACCCCUGCCCAAGGUCGCCCCUCUGCCCUCGCCCCUGGCCCGGGAGGGUGGGAGGCUUUGACCCCGCCCUGCCCACUCGCGUCUCCGCAGCCGUAGCCGCACCUGCCCCCAAUAUGAAUAGGGUCAACGACCUACCUGUUUUUAUAAGAGAUAUUAAGCCCGGACUGAAAAACUUAAAUGUCGUCUUUAUUGUACUGGAGAUAGGACGCGUGACCAAAACCAAAGACGGCCAUGAAGUGAGAUCGUGCAAAGUAGCAGAUAAAACGGGCAGCAUCACUAUUUCCGUGUGGGAUGAGAUCGGAGGUCUUAUCCAGCCAGGGGAUAUUAUUCGGUUGACCAGAGGGUAUGCAUCCAUGUGGAAAGGAUGUCUGACACUUUAUACUGGAAGAGGUGGUGAACUUCAAAAAAUUGGGGAUCUAGGUGCGGUGCAGGCAGCCGCAAUGCGAGAUUCCAUACACUACUACCCUGGUAAUGAUCUCCACCCUGACCUGGAGGAGCCAUCCUCUCUAGGGGUGUAAGAUUUUGUAUGGUUUAUUCAGAAGUGCCAAAUUUCAGUGAACCCAACCCAGAUUAUCGAGGACAUCAGAACAAAGGGGCACAGAGUGAACAGAAGAAUAAUUCCAUGAAUAGUAAUAUGGGUACAGGUACAUUUGGACCAGUGGGAAAUGGUGUUCACACUGGCCCUGAAUCAAGGGGACACCAGUUUUCACAUGCUGGCAGAAGCAAUGGCUGGGGACUUAGAAAUCCACAACUACCAGGAACAGCUAAUCAAACAGUGAUGACCACAAUAAGUAAUGGCAGGGACCCUCGGAGAGCCUUUAAAAGAUGACCUAGGCCCAAUACUCACAUGUAGUUUUUAUACUACAUGCCCUACUUGAACACUUAUUGCACUUUUAUUUAUUGUUAACUGUGAAAAGUAUGUCCUUUAUUGGAUUUCCUUUUGUAUCCUUGGUUUAUUAAGAAGAAUGGUUUGUUUUUAUAGCAAAACUGUUAAGCUGCUCAAGUCUCCUAUUGAAGAAUGGGAACACUGAAAAGUAGGGGCAUUUAUUUUUAGAGCAAAAAGACUGUUGGAGAGCCUCUAAAAAACCUGCACCCAUUUCAUGGGUGAGUUACUUAAGACAUCAGCUUUAUAGCCUCUAUGAGUCUUAUCUUCUGUAUAAGUUUUGUAAUAUUUAACACAAGGCUUAAUGGGAGCUGUUCUUUUGUCUUGUAUUCAGAUAUUGCCAACUAAAGCAAUAACCAUCAAAAAACACAAGAACUUGUCAAUGCUAGCUGUAAGUUUUGAGUGUUUGUGGCUCUCGGAAUGAUUGACUUAAUUGAGCGACUGCCAUUAAGAUUUUCCAAGGACUGACUCGUCCUAAAUUUUUGUUGUACUACCAAAAAACAGAUUCCUUAUCAGAAUUUGGAAUAGAAUGUGAUCUAUAUUGCAACAAGUAAUUUUAAAAGAAAGCUACGUUUAUUUUAGAGUAGUCUUCCUAAUAUGUAUUAUCAAUAUCAACUUUGUGGAUUACAUUGGAAGAAGAUUGAAACUGGGGCCUUGGAUAUUUUUUGAAACCACCAUGUUAAAUAUUGAAGUAUAAUUUGAGGGAGUUAUAAAGUUACAAACAUUGAUCUGAUUAUUUUCAAAAAUAAUUGUGAACAUACUGGAGGUGAGUCAAAUUGAAUUCAUACAGUAACAUGCAGUCUUAAGUCCCAGUACUCAGCCUGGAGUAAAAAUCCUGGGUACUAACUUUGAGAGGCAUUAGUGUGUAUGUUGUCAAAGUUUCUGAACACAGUUCACAUAGCCUUAUUAGUAGAAGUUUAAGAAAUGGCUCUAUCAAACAAUUACAGCUUUAUUCAGAAAUGUAAAGGUGGAAUUUAUGUACAUGUCAUAAGUGGUACCCACGUCCCUUUUUACUGUAGGGUGAAGAACUUAGGAUUUAACUCUUUUUUAAUAUUAUCUCUUGAAUAAAACUUGUGUUAAUGUUAACAAACCUACUUAAUUUUUGCUCUUUCAAUGACUUCCAGUGGAGAGCCAGUACAUCUUAACUACUGUUGUAGUGAUGGCAUCAACCUCAUGGUUACUCAGCCCUGCAUUUGUUGCUUUGUUUUUUUCCCACUUCAGAUCACAAAAUAAUUAAGUAGAUUUCGUUUUCUGAAAACUCCAUAGCACUUGAAUAUAAAAAGUUGUGCCAGAUUGUUUGUUCUAAUUUAGUGUAUUUUUAACAAAUAUUUCAGUACACACUAUGUAUUAGGCACUGUGGAAAGUGUUAAGGGAUAGACAAAAUACCAAAUAAUCUUCACAAGUUUAUUUGUGGUCUAUAGUACUUUUGUAACUGGGGUUACAAAAAUUAUAGAAUCUUUUUUCCUUUAUUCAUGUGCAUAUUAACGAUUAUAGUUAAUUUGGCUUUGUGAUUAAUGUUUUCUUAAGAUUUUCACAUUACAGAAUACCUCAAAAGAGGUAAUCUAAGGAUUGGGAUAGAGAGUAUAUUUCAUAAGAUGGUAGAUGUUUAGAAUUAAAAAACACUACAAAUUAGUGUAUGAUUGUUUUAUCUAAGAUAGGAGCAACACUUUAUCACUUUGUGGGAGAAUAUGGCAUUACAGGUGAUUUUAAAAGAAGAGAUUUUGGAGUUUUAGAAAAUUAAAAUACUGUCAGGUAUGCAAUUCUGGGCUUCCAAUCCUGGCCUCCUUGUCUCCUCACCUGUGAUGUUGGGUGAGUUAUUACACUUGAAACCUCUAAUCCUUAGGUUCCACAACUAUGAAAACAACAGUAUCCUUUCUAGACUUGUUUAAGAUUUCCAUGUAAGUAAUUAUAAUGACUUCUGACACGUAAUAAGCAGUCAAAUAUUUGUCAUCUUAUACCCUAAGAGCAGGAAAAAAUGCAGAAUUCAGUAUGAAAGUAUUGUUACCUUUUAACACAGUGGUCCCCAAUCUUUUUGACACCAGAGAUGUUUCCUGGAAGACAGUUUUUCCAUGGGAUGGGGGGAUGGUUUUGGGAUGAAACACUUCCACCUCAGGUCAUCAGGCAUUGGUUAGAUUCUUGUAAGGAGCAUGCAGCCUAGAUCCCUUGCAUAUGCAGUUCACAAUGGGGUUCGUGCUCCUUUGAGAAUCUAAUGCCACUACUAAUCUGACCAGAGGCAGAGCUCAGGCAGUAAGGCUUCCUCGCCUGUCACUCACCUGCUGGGUGGUCCUGUUCCUAACAGGCCGGAGUUGAUACUGACCUAGGGGUUGGGGACCUCUGCUUUAACAUAUUGUUAAAUAGAGAAAGACCUAAGCUUUUACUUUUGUGUUUGACACUUGCUUCAAUAAUGUAACUUUAUUCUGUGUUUUUGUCAUUUAUUAACAAAUUUCUUUUUUCUUAAGGGGAGUCUCCAAAAUCAAAGCAAAGUGAGUUACAAUCCAUAAUGAAUAUUUGCCUUACCAGCCUACUGGAACACACUCCUCAAGAAGCUAAGAGGAAGAAGUUUUCUACCUGCAGCUAUCAACUUCGAAAUAAGUUUAAACAACACCUACUGAAAACAAAAACCAAUUAGUAUAAAAAAUAUCCCCCACCAGAACCGGGUCCCCCAUAUCAUUUCUACAAAAGGGUUCUGGGAUGGAUCAAAGUCUUAUCAGAUCCAUUUGCUCCUUCUUGUUUGGGCAGGUUCUAGGAGAAGUAGCUGUAAUACAGAAACUGAACGAUGACAUCCAUAAAGCCAGAUAACGAUAUUUAGCAGGGAUGGCUACAAUAUGCUUUCCAUGGGCACUUAAACACUCAGUUUUUCCUAGUGUAUCAAUGCUUUAUACUUUGUCCCUAUAGUCUUUGUACUUUUAACUUUGAUGACCAUUUAACUUGAGGAUAAUCUGAAUAUGUGCAGUAUUUGCCAUUUGUAUUUUUAUCAUUUAACAUUUUAAAUGAGUGCUUAAUUUGUUGGGUUGAGUAAUACCAAGGGAGUGAUGCUAAAAACAAAUAGGAAGUUAGUAAAAGAAUUAAAGUUACAAUUUAUGAUAUGAGAACUUCUAAAGCAUAGGAAAGUAGGCAAAUGGCCCUAAAAUGUUUUCUCAGAAGGUACAAGCUUUACAUCAGUCUGAAGACAUACAGAUCUAACAUUUCAAUUUAGUUGCUGAAAUGACUGACAUUUUCUGGUGUCGUUGACAUACUGCCUAUUUGCUCCAAGCCAUUUUAGGCUCAGAAUGACUGUUAAGUUCUUCUAAUGUAUAUAAAGCAUUCUAGAAUCAGCAAACUGAACAUGAUAAGAGGCAGUACCAACAUGGAAUUCCCCCAAACAAGUCCCCUCUAACCUUACUGAGCUUACUUGCACUAUUACUAAUAUGUAUAUAUAUAUGAUCUUCUGUUGCUUCUCUAUUUUAUCCCUUACCUGAUGAAAGUCUGAACAUUUCUAGUGGAGAAAGAUCAUAGUUCUCUAGUAUGGGCAGUAAGAGGGGUACAGGUUGGGUUAGGGGUACAGUGAUAGGCUGCCUCCACUGGGGUUGAAAACUUGUGUGCCUAGGUUUCAGCCAGUGAUUACACUGUGUAAUUAACCAGUCCCAUAUUUCACAAAGGAGUUGUAAUGAUUAACAGUUCAGAUAUGCUUCUGAGGAAAUCUAAUUGUGACCUUUGGAAAAUAGCACUGUUACGAAUAGUGUGGUUUACGCCCUGAGGGAGAAGCUAGAAAAACAUUUUACUUUUCAGGUAUAUUUAAAUUAUAUCCAAAUGUCUCAGUUUGCUUUACUGGGAACUUCCUGAGUUUGGAGUUCAAAUAUUGUAACCAAGUUACUCCAAGUUUCUGAACUAAACAUCUAUAAAUGUUUCUCAAAGUAUAGAUCACAGAGUAAGAAAAGGGGAAAUCAAGUCUGGUUUAUGACCAGCUUUUUUCCAUGUUAACAUUAGACCUAGAGAUCUUACUAAGAUUUUACUGUGAGAUAACCAGUAUGAUGUGAAGACGAACAUUUUAAGAAGCUUGACUAGUGGAUAUUUCGUUUAAGCCUUUUGGAAGGUCUUGAUCCACAACUCACAGUUUUAUUGCGGCUCCCCAGGCCUUGAGAACAUGUCAACCCAAGGCUUGGAUGAUCAUUGUUGACCUGUAAAAGAGCGCAGGUCUCUUGAGAGUUUAUUGACACACCCCCACAAUGUGUCUCAACCUCUGUUGAAAGGCUAGUGACAUUUUUAAAAACCUGUUAUUUCCAAUCAGAAAUUUAAGUAUGUUUUAUGUCUUUCAUUCCAUCAAAAUUUAUGCUUCUCAGCAUAGGGUAGUCUAGUUUCUUGGUGUGUAUAUUAAAUACAUUGAAUAAAAUUCUUAAUGAUUUAGGAAUAAUGUACAUGAGACUUCCCAGGAACUUGUCAAAAUUUCGUAUGGCACCUCUGCACCAAUAACAUUAGUGUACGUUUGGGAGACCUGCACUUGAAACCCUGAAGUUGCUUGCCUCCUGCCCUUGCACUCUCCCUCUGUACUGAAAUUAUGUAUUUUUUCUCAGUUUUUUACCUUUUUGAGGCUGAUACAUGUUGAAGUUUUGGGUUGUAAAACAAAUUGUACUUGGGGAGAAUUGUUGGGUAAAGCAUAUAGCCCCAAGCAGAGUAAGAGGUUCAGUAUGGCCUGUGGAUGUGGGCAUUGCAAAUUUUGAAUUAGGUUCAAAUAAAAUUACUUAAAUUAUACAUCAAUGCUAAGAUCAGAUAUUAAUAGGGAGGCCACAUGACUUUGAGUCUAUCAAGAUAAAAUGCUUUUUUUGCCCUAAGUUUUUGAAAAUUAGAGUUUAUUGUUGCUCAUCUCAGCAAAUUCAUGUUUUCGGCCUCCUCUGCCUUCCUCCUGUCCCUCAGUUCCCUACUUUAUUAUAUGGAAAAGGCUGGCCAAAUUGAAAAGUAGCUCAGUUGGAGAGCUGAAAAAUACUUUUGAAAAUACUUACAGAAACCACCCUUCAUCUUCCACAUAAAGAUCUCAGUCCUGUUCAGUACCGAGAGGCAACUACAAUGAAUAUUUUCUACAAGUAACAUGGAAAGCAUGAUAUGAGUGCCAUGAUUUUCUAAUUUUCACUAAAUGUUUGUAGCCCUGGUAGGAAACAAACUUCUGACCUAAGUUGCCGGGCUACUUGAAUAAAAACAAGGUAGUCAGUACAACUAGUGCCAUCUACUGGGUCAUUACUGCAUGGUUUCUGUCUGUUCAGAAAUCCGGCUUAGUUUAACACGUGGGGGAAACAGUACUAUUCCAUUGAAAGUAAUUUUUGCCUGAUAGUGUAAGCAUGAUACGGAAAAUCAUUAAGGGGCAGUUGGGCCAUUUGUUUAGUUCUAGUUUAUGAACACUCAACACUGACAUUAAAUUUCAGUUAAGUAGAUUAAACCCUGAACUGCCCCUAAAGCUAUCAGAAAUACGGGAAAGUUUGCCAAGUUUUGUAUUCUCAUUACAUUUGUCAAUAUUGUUGGUGAGAAGUGUAAACUGUUAAAAAUGCCUUUUGGUGAGUGGUGGUUUGGUAAAGACAAAUGAAGUAGAACACGACACUGCCCUUACAAAUUUUAUUCCCUUACCCAAUGGUAUUAUGUAAAAUCCUGGCCAAAUGACUCUGCUGCUGUUGUGGUUAUAUUGAGCUUCGCAGAACAUAACCUAUUUUAAAUGCCAGAAUGUGCUUCAAUGAAAAAGAACAUGGUUUUGGGCUGAGGAGAUCUUGGGUUGAGUCCUGAUUUGAUUAUUUACUGGCCCCAGGACCGUGAACCUCGUUAUAAAAUGAUAGUGGGGCUAUGUACUCGUAUUGCUAGGAGGACCGUGUGACCUAAUGUAUGCAAAAUAUCUGCCCCAUAUCUAAGGCUCAACAAAUGUUAAGCCCUCUCUCCAUCAGCAUAGGAAAUAAGAAAAUACUGUUCAUUUCUCCAUGUCAUUAUUAGAAAACAAUCUUCUAUAAUUUAAAAUCUGAAAUAUUAAGCAAUAUAUAUGAA